UCCUCUAGGUGCAAUCUGAU
RNAcentral lists this non-coding RNA (20 nucleotides) under Arabidopsis thaliana (thale cress). The record is from RNAcentral. Lineage: Eukaryota; Viridiplantae; Streptophyta; Magnoliopsida; Brassicales; Brassicaceae.